UUACACGGAAUCCCUCGGGAGGAAGUGUGAAUGACUGAGUGGCGGACGGGUGAGUAACGCGUGGGCAACCUGCCCCGUACCGGGGGAUAACAGCCGGAAACGGCUGCUAAUACCGCAUAUGCUUUGCGGGCCGCAUGGCCCGCAAAGCAAAACUCCGGUGGUACGGGAUGGGCCCGCGUCUGAUUAGCUGGUUGGCGGGGUAACGGCCCACCAAGGCGACGAUCAGUAGCCGGCCUGAGAGGGCGGCCGGCCACAUUGGGACUGAGACACGGCCCAGACUCCUGCGGGAGGCAGCAGUGGGGAAUAUUGCACAAUGGGGGAAACCCUGAUGCAGCGACGCCGCGUGGGCGAGGAAGUACCUCGGUAUGUAAAGCCCUAUCAGCAGGGAAGAAACAGGACAGUACCUGACUAAGAAGCCCCGGCUAACUACGUGCCAGCAGCCGCGGUAAUACGUAGGGGGCAAGCGUUAUCCGGAUUCACUGGGCGUAAAGGGAGCGCAGGCGGCAUGGCAAGUCUGAUGUGAAAACCCGGGGCCCAACCCCGGGAGUGCAUUGGAAACUGCCAGGCUGGAGUGUCGGAGGGGUAAGCGGAAUUCCUAGUGUAGCGGUGAAAUGCGUAGAUAUUAGGAGGAACACCAGUGGCGAAGGCGGCUUACUGGACGACUACUGACGCUGAGGCUCGAAAGCGUGGGGAGCAAACAGGAUUAGAUACCCUGGUAGUCCACGCCGUANACGAUGAAUACCAGGUGUCGGCGGGCACGGCCCNCCGGUGCCGCAGCAAACGCAGUAAGUAUUCCGCCUGGGGAGUACGUUCGCAAGAAUGAAACUCAAAGGAAUUNGACGGGACCCGCACAAGCGGUGGAGCAUGUGGUNUAAUU
This 877-nucleotide ribosomal RNA is filed under the name uncultured bacterium. RNAcentral's name for it is "bacterial SSU rRNA". It matches the Rfam family "Bacterial small subunit ribosomal RNA", at positions 62 to 951 of the family's 1533-position model. The record is from RNAcentral.